AAAACUUUACAAUGCGGGCAACCGUGAUAAGGGAACCUCGAGUGCCUGUAUAUGCAGGCUGUUCAGGUGUCUAAGACACACCUGAAGAAAGGGCCGGGCAAGACCGGUGCCGGCCGCCGCGGUAAUACCGGCGGCUCGAGUGGUGGCCACUUUUACUUGGGCUUAAAGCGUUCGUAGCUGGGUUGUUAAGUCUCUUGGGAAAUCUGGCGGCUUAACCGUCAGGCGUCUAAGGGAUACUGGCAAUCUUGGAACCGGGAGAGGUGAGGGGUACUUCGGGGGUAGGAGUGAAAUCCUGUAAUCCUCGAGGGACCACCUGUGGCGAAGGCGCCUCACCAGAACGGCUUCGACAGUGAGGGACGAAAGCUGGGGGAGCAAACCGGAUUAGAUACCCGGGUAGUCCCAGCCGUAAACGAUGUGCGUUAGGUGUAUCGGUGACCACGAGUCACCGAGGUGCCGAAGGGAAACCGUGAAACGUACCGCCUGGGAAGUACGGUCGCAAGGCUGAAACUUAAAGGAAUUGGCGGGGGAGCACCACAACGGGUGGAGCNUGCGGUUUAAUUGGACUCAACGCCGGAAAUCUCACCGGAUAAGACAGCGGAAUGAUUGCCGGGCUGAAGACUCUGCAUGACUAGCUGAGAGGAGGUGCAUGGCCGUCGUCAGUUCGUACUGUGAAGCAUCCUGUUUAGUCAGGCAACGAGCGAGACCCACGCCAACAGUUGCCAGCAUGGCCCCCGGGCUGAUGGGGACACUGUUGGGACCGCCUCUGCUAAAGGGGAGGAAGGAAUGGGCAACGGUAGGUCAGCAUGCCCCGAAUUAUCCGGGCUACACGCGGGCUACAAUGGGCAGGACAAUGGGUAUCGACACCGAAAGGUGAAGGCAAUCUCUUAAACCUGUCCUUAGUUCGGAUUGUGGGCUGUAACUCGCCCACAUGAAGCUGGAAUCCGUAGUAAUCGCGUUUCAAAAUAACGCGGUGAAUGUGUCCCUGCUCC
RNAcentral lists this ribosomal RNA (989 nucleotides) under uncultured bacterium. Its description in RNAcentral is "bacterial SSU rRNA". It matches the Rfam family "Archaeal small subunit ribosomal RNA", at positions 343 to 1336 of the family's 1478-position model. The record is from RNAcentral.